RNAcentral lists this unclassified non-coding RNA (1208 nucleotides) under Hevea brasiliensis (rubber tree). The record is from RNAcentral. Lineage: Eukaryota; Viridiplantae; Streptophyta; Magnoliopsida; Malpighiales; Euphorbiaceae.
AGGAUUUGGUUCAGUUUUUGAAGGAACUCUAAAUGAUGGCACCACCAAAAUUGCAGUGAAGCGUCUCAAUGGUUUGGGCCAAGUCAAAAAAUCAUUCUCGGCUGAGGUUGAGUCAAUUGGCAGAAUCCACCAUGUGAACUUGGUAAGGCUGCUUGGUUUUUGUGCUGAUAAAUCCCGCAGGCUUCUUGUUUAUGAGUUCAUGUCUAAUGGCUCCUUGGACAAAUGGAUCUUCCAUCAAACCCAUGAGUUUACUCUUGUAUGGCAGCAGAGAAAGAAGAUCAUCCUCGACAUAGCAAAGGGACUUACCUAUCUUCAUGAAGAUUGCACACAAAAGAUACUCCAUUUAGACAUCAAACCCCAAAACAUUCUCUUAGACAACACGUUUAAUGCGAAAAUCUCUGAUUUCGGGUUGUCUAAACUGAUUGAUCGAGACCAGAGUAAAGUUGUGACAACCAUGAGAGGCACUCCAGGCUAUUUGGCUCCAGAAUGGCUGAGCUCAGUAAUCACAGAAAAGGCAGACGUCUAUAGCUUUGGGGUGGUUGUCCUAGAAUUGUUGUGUGGAAGGAGAAAUGUUGAUCGCUCACAGCCAGAAGAACAGAUGCAUUUAAUAAGACUUUUUGAGAAGAAGGCAGAAGAGAAUCAACUGUCUGAUCUAGUUGAUAAUUGCAGUGAAGAUAUGCAGUUGCAUAAAGCAGAAGUAGUGAGCAUGAUGAAGGUUGCUGCUUGGUGUUUGCAAAAGGAUUAUACAAUGAGGCCUUCCAUGUCAAUGGUGGUUAAAGUCUUGGAAGGUGUUUCAGAAGUUGAACCUAAUCUAAACUACAACAUUUCCAAUCCAUCAUUCACAACAACAUCAACGCAAGUUACUCAAUUGUUGCCCUUUGUUCUAUCUGGGCCAAGGUGACAGUUCAUUGUUGCUUUUUUCAGUUGUUUUCUAUGCUGUGUGAACUUGCAGGAAAGAGAUUUUAUUUUCUGUUAGUGAACUGGAUAUGUGAAAGUAGGAGGAAUUUUACAGUGCAUAAGGUGCAUAUGUCCACCCACCAUCUAUAGUUUUGUGAAGGAUAGAGCACUUAAUUUAUGUGCUUCGAGAGUCACUCAGGUGAUAUGUUUCUGUUUUGUUUCUAAAUUCCCCCAUUCCUCCCCUUUUCGAAUGAAAGAAUAAGUGAAGUUUGUUAGAAUUUCCUAGAUAAAAGUCACUCAAUUUUCCUCCG